UACGAAGGGGGCUAGCGUUGCUCGGAAUCACUGGGCGUAAAGGGUGCGUAGGCGGGUCUUUAAGUCAGGGGUGAAAUCCUGGAGCUCAACUCCAGAACUGCCUUUGAUACUGAGGAUCUUGAGUUCGGGAGAGGUGAGUGGAACUGCGAGUGUAGAGGUGAAAUCGUAGAUAUCGCAAGAACACCAGUGGCGAAGGCGGCUCACUGGCCCGAUACUGACGCUGAGGCACGAAAAGCGUGGGGGAGCAAACAGG
RNAcentral lists this ribosomal RNA (253 nucleotides) under uncultured bacterium. RNAcentral's name for it is "partial 16S ribosomal RNA". It matches the Rfam family "Bacterial small subunit ribosomal RNA", at positions 524 to 776 of the family's 1533-position model. The record is from RNAcentral.